Molecule: long non-coding RNA, 1275 nt
Filed under: Cucumis sativus (cucumber)
Lineage: Eukaryota; Viridiplantae; Streptophyta; Magnoliopsida; Cucurbitales; Cucurbitaceae
Description: long non-coding RNA (CSAT_LNC001070)
Source: RNAcentral
GUGUCAUGGAUCGAAUUAAUGAGAGUAGCAGCUUCAUUUUCUGCCCCCAACUUUUCCUCAGUUUGAUUAAAAGCAUUGGUAAGUUUCUUGAAUUCAUCUAAAUUUUCAUCAAGAUUCUUGUUUUGAUUCAUUUUAAAUGAAAAUAACUUCUCCCUUAUGAACAUCUUAUUUGAUAGGUCUUUCAAUACAAUGCCUUCAAUUUCUCCCAAGUAGCAAAAGCAGUGGUUUCUUCAAUUACUUGUCUUAGCACAUUAUCAAUAAUAUCCAUAAGUGUACCGUAAGCUACCUCUUCCAUUGUUUCUCUUUCUGACUUGGCUAAAGUUGUAGGGAGUUCUUUUGGGUCUUCUUAAGGUUUCAAGGCUUUUUGUAAACCCAAUAUUGCAAUAAUUCUUUUUGUCCACAAGAUAAAGUCUCCAUUCCCAUCAAAAUUUUCAAUUUCAUACUUUGUAGUAGUCAUUUUCUUGCUUUUCUUCUAAUGGCUCUGAUACCAGUUAUUGGAAAAAGUAGAAACAAAAGUUUCACUUUCUUUGUAAAAGCAACUUUGAGACAAGUGUAAUUUGUGGAGAAAUUAAAUGUUGAGUUACCUUUUUACCCUUUACUUUUCUCUCACCUUUUCAAUAUCUUUGCAAGUUGUCGUCACUUUUGUUUUUUUGUAUUUCUUUUCUCUUGCAUGGUUCAACGAGAGAGUAAGGAAGAAGAAAAGAGGGUUUCAAAAAGAAGAUGAAGAGAUGAGAAAAGUGAACAAGAUGAAGUUUAUAGUGGUUCAACACAUAGCCUACAUCCACUCCUUAAAGGGUAAAAAAUCCUUUUAUUCAACAUUCAUUUAGAAAGUAGAUUCAAGAUAUGAACAUAUUUUUCAUUCUACAUCUCCAUGAAUUUAUUCGGUAUAUUUUCUACUUGAGGCUACAACACUUUUAUUAUGUUCUAAAAAAAAGUAGUUGUAACUAAUUUUUUUCAUUUCUUUAACAAGUGGAGAGAUGGAAGCCCUCUUAGAGAAUUUGGUUCAUCAACAAAUUUCAACAACAUCCACAUAAAGGUUAUUUAUUUGUUCAUCAAUCCAGAUAGAACCAAUCAAUCAAGAUUGGUUCAUCUUAAUUUCAGUUUGUUCAAUUUAUUUAUUUGUUUAUUAUUUUGUUCCCUUUUAUUAAUCUCAUCAUGAAAUUCUACACAUCAAAAUAUUUUAUUUUUAACUAUUUAUGUAUAAGUUUUUCUUUGGAUUCAAAUAUGUGAAUGCUCUAAACAAGUAGAAAAAGCUUAAUAUGUAAAGGAAAGUGA